CCAUCUUGGAAACAAGCUACCAGAGCAUGUUUCCCAAAUGUCUGCUCGUAAAUUGUUUGGGAUACCCGACUGAACAAGCUUUUGAAAAUUUGGAGUUUGUAUGAGAUUAAAAUUAGCACCGUUUUUUUUUAGAUAUUGAAUCCAGCUUUUGGAGUUAUUUUCAUUGAUUAAACCAUUUGUAUUGCUGCUUGCUAUCGGAUAACCAAACUGCGAACCAAGACCUAAGUCAAUGCUCUCGAUUUCUUGUGAAUUGGCUGAUUCAGAAAAACAGACUCUUUCGGAUGCUAGUGAUAACAAAAAUAAACCAACGCUUGAAGCAUCCUCAAGAGAAGCAUGUAACUGGCGAACUAGUCGGUCACAAAAGAAUUCUGAUUGCUGUCUCGUUCCUUUAAACCUCAAGUGAAUUAUCUGACUGUGAAAGUUAGAGAGAUCAAAAGUAAAUGUAUCAUUGUCUGAAUUUUCCCUUUCUAGCUUUCGAACGGCAGCUAAAGGGAAA
Non-coding RNA from Schizosaccharomyces pombe (fission yeast), 496 nucleotides. The record is from the annotation of a GenBank genome assembly. NCBI's taxonomy places the organism in Eukaryota, Fungi, Ascomycota, Schizosaccharomycetes, Schizosaccharomycetales, Schizosaccharomycetaceae.